UGAGGAAUAUUGCGCAAUGGAGGGAACUCUGACGCAGCCAUGCCGCGUGCAGGAUGACGGCCCUACGGGUUGUAAACUGCUUUUAUACAGGAAGAAUUUUCCGCACGUGUGCGGGAUUGACGGUACUGUACGA
Molecule: ribosomal RNA, 133 nt
Filed under: uncultured bacterium
Lineage: Bacteria
Description: partial 16S ribosomal RNA
Rfam family: Bacterial small subunit ribosomal RNA
Source: RNAcentral